RNAcentral lists this ribosomal RNA (464 nucleotides) under uncultured bacterium. RNAcentral describes it as "partial 16S ribosomal RNA". It matches the Rfam family "Bacterial small subunit ribosomal RNA", at positions 339 to 795 of the family's 1533-position model. The record is from RNAcentral.
CUACGGGCCGCUCCAGUGGGGAAUAUUGCACAAUGGGCGCAAGCCUGAUGCAGCCAUGCCGCGUGUAUGAAGAAGGCCUUCGGGUUGUAAAGUACUUUCAGCGGGGAGGAAGGGAGUAAAGUUAAUACCUUUGCUCAUUGACGUUACCCGCAGAAGAAGCACCGGCUAACUCCGUGCCAGCAGCCGCGGUAAUACGGAGGGUGCAAGCGUUAAUCGGAAUUACUGGUCGUAAAGCGCACGCAGGCGGUUUGUUAAGUCAGAUGUGAAAUCCCCGGGCUCAACCUGGGAACUGCAUCUGUUACUGGCAAGCUUGAGUCUCGUAGAGGGGGGUAGAAUUCCAGGUGUAGCGGUGAAAUGCGUAGAGAUCUGGAGGAAUACCGGUGGCGAAGGCGGCCCCCUGGACGAAGACUGACGCUCAGGUGCGAAAGCGUGGGGAGCAAACAGGAUUAGAUACCCCGGUAGUC